RNAcentral lists this ribosomal RNA (403 nucleotides) under uncultured bacterium. RNAcentral describes it as "partial 16S ribosomal RNA". It matches the Rfam family "Bacterial small subunit ribosomal RNA", at positions 30 to 526 of the family's 1533-position model. The record is from RNAcentral.
AUUGAACGCUGGCGGCAGGCCUAACACAUGCAAGUCGAGCGAGCGGCGGACGGGUGAGUAAUGUAUGGGGACUGCCCGAUAGAGGGGGAUACAUACUGGAAACGGUAGCUAAUACCCCAUACUAUCGGAUAACCCAUAUGGGAUUAGCUAGUAGGUGAGGUAAUGGCUCCCCUAGGCGACGAUCCCUAGCUGGUCUGAGCGGAUGAUCAGCCAAACUGGGACUGAGACACGGCCCAGACUCCUACGGAGGCAGCAGUGGGGAAUAUUGCACAAUGGGCGCAAGCCUGAUGCAGCCAUGCCGCGGGUAUGAAGAAGGCCUGCGGGUUGUAAAGUACUUUCAGUAGGGAGGCGUUACCGACAGAAGAAGCACCGGCUAACUCCGUGCCAGCAGCCGCGGUAAUUC